AACCUUAUGGACCUGCGGGCGUAUACCUGCGGAAGGAUCAUUAUAGAGUUUUCUAAACUCCCAACCCAUGCGAACUUACCUUUUGUUGCCUCGGCAGAAGUUAUAGGUCUUCUUAUAGCUGCUGCCGGUGGACCAUUAAACUCUUGUUAUUUUAUGUAAUCUGAGCGUCUUAUUUUAAUAAGUCAAAACUUUUAACAACGGAUCU
RNAcentral lists this unclassified non-coding RNA (205 nucleotides) under soil metagenome. RNAcentral's name for it is "partial contains 5.8S ribosomal RNA, internal transcribed spacer 2, and large subunit ribosomal RNA". The record is from RNAcentral.